RNAcentral lists this ribosomal RNA (492 nucleotides) under uncultured bacterium. Its description in RNAcentral is "partial 16S ribosomal RNA". It matches the Rfam family "Bacterial small subunit ribosomal RNA", at positions 29 to 507 of the family's 1533-position model. The record is from RNAcentral.
AGUGAACGCUGGCGGUAGGCCUAACACAUGCAAGUCGAACGGCAGCACAGUAAGAGCUUGCUCUUACGGGUGGCGAGUGGCGGACGGGUGAGGAAUACAUCGGAAUCUACUUUUUCGUGGGGGAUAACGUAGGGAAACUUACGCUAAUACCGCAUACGACCUACGGGUGAAAGUAGGGGAUCUUCGGACCUUGCGCGAUUGAAUGAGCCGAUGUCGGAUUAGCUAGUUGGCGGGGUAAAGGCCCACCAAGGCGACGAUCCGUAGCUGGUCUGAGAGGAUGAUCAGCCACACUGGAACUGAGACACGGUCCAGACCCCUACGGGAGGCAGCAGUGGGGAAUAUUGGACAAUGGGCGCAAGCCUGAUCCAGCCAUACCGCGUGGGUGAAGAAGGCCUUCGGGUUGUAAAGCCCUUUUGUUGGGAAAGAAAAGCAGCAGGUUAAUACCCCGCUGUUCUGACGGUACCCAAAGAAUAAGCACCGGCUAACUUCGUG